UUUCUAAACAAAACCCUUUUGGUAGAAUGCUAAAGGUAAGAAGUUCCCAAAGUCAUCAAUCAAUGUUUAAGAAAGUUAUUGUCAUGAUGAAAACUCAUCCGCUAAUAACAUCCCUAAACAGAGUCUCGUUUGGGUGAGGCCUUCGUAUAGUCCCAAAGAGGAAGACUCCUAGUGGGUCCAUACUACACAACUCUCGAGUCCAAGGUUCUAAUAAGGUUCUCAGAGUCAUAGAUCGAGGUUGGGAAUACCACUGUAAG
This 257-nucleotide long non-coding RNA is filed under the name Lathyrus oleraceus (garden pea). Its description in RNAcentral is "Pisum sativum (pea) long non-coding RNA (PSAT_LNC039463)". The record is from RNAcentral. Lineage: Eukaryota; Viridiplantae; Streptophyta; Magnoliopsida; Fabales; Fabaceae.